Molecule: long non-coding RNA, 560 nt
Filed under: Homo sapiens (human)
Lineage: Eukaryota; Metazoa; Chordata; Mammalia; Primates; Hominidae
Description: HSALNT0293233
Source: RNAcentral
CACCAGCAUAGGUCAGAGGGGAUAUUGUAUGUAACUGGUGACAUUUGAAAGAGACAUAUUGGACAGAAAUGACAUACGUGAAAGCUAAGAUACAAUAUAUUUAAUUUUCUAAGAAUUCAGUUCAAGAUAAGGAAGCUGAGAUGUAGAGCUGAAGUGUCUUGCCCAAGAUCAUUUGUCUAAGACAGAAAAGGGGAGAAAAAGAAGAAGAAAAGGGAGAGGAAAAGGUAAAAGAAAAGAAGAGAAUGAAUUGCAGCUGAGGAAGUGGAAGAGCGAGAAGCGCUUCCAGAUACCAGACUUAACAGGUGGAUUUUUGGGUUUGCUGAAGAAGAAAAAGAAGGAGAAGGAGAAGGAGAAGAAGAAGAGAAGUGUGAUUAACAAGAAAAAAACUUAUUUGGGGGCUAUGAACACCUUGAAUAUUUAACAGAAUAUCAGCUACUCAUCUGUAACCAUUCACUACAUAGCUAAACUUUUAGUAAUAAUGUAGGUAUUCUCUGGCCAAGAGAAAGAUAGGAUGUGUGUGUGUGUGUGUGUGUGUGUGUGUGUGUGUGUGUGUGUGUGUG